AUUCCAGCUCCAAUAGCGUAUAUUAAAGUUGUUGCAGUUAAAAAGCUCGUAGUUGGAUUUCUGGCGUGAGGCGACUGUUCCUAGGCUCUAUGCCUAGUGUAACAGAUCGCCUCGGCCAUCCUUCUGGAGAACGGCCCUGCUCUUCAUUGAGUUGGGGUCGGGAUCCAGAUCUUUUACUUUGAAAAAAUUAGAGUGUUUAAAGCAGGCUUAUGCCUUGAAUACAUUAGCAUGGAAUAAUAAUUUAGGACUUUGGUUCUAUUUUGUUGGUUUCUAGAACUGAAGUAAUGAUUGAUAGGGAUAGUUGGGGGUGCUAGUAUUCAGCGGCCAGAGGUGAAAUUCUUGGAUUCGCUGAAGACUAACUUAUGCGAAAGCAUUCACCAAGGAUGUCUUCAUUG
This 395-nucleotide ribosomal RNA is filed under the name Thaumatomastigidae sp. RNAcentral describes it as "partial small subunit ribosomal RNA". It matches the Rfam family "Eukaryotic small subunit ribosomal RNA", at positions 582 to 975 of the family's 1831-position model. Lineage: Eukaryota; Cercozoa; Imbricatea; Thaumatomonadida; Thaumatomastigidae. The record is from RNAcentral.